This 115-nucleotide ribosomal RNA is filed under the name Neogale vison (American mink). The record is from RNAcentral. Lineage: Eukaryota; Metazoa; Chordata; Mammalia; Carnivora; Mustelidae.
GUCUACGGCCAUACCACCCUGAAGGCGCCCGAUCUCGUCUGAUCUUGGAAGCUAAGCAGGGUCGGGCCUGGUUAGUACUUGCAUGGGAGACCAAAACAAAAGUCCACCAUUUAUU